Molecule: ribosomal RNA, 1112 nt
Filed under: Klebsiella pneumoniae
Lineage: Bacteria; Pseudomonadati; Pseudomonadota; Gammaproteobacteria; Enterobacterales; Enterobacteriaceae
Description: bacterial SSU rRNA
Rfam family: Bacterial small subunit ribosomal RNA
Source: RNAcentral
AAAUUGAAGAGUUUGAUCAUGGCUCAGAUUGAACGCUGGCGGCAGGCCUAACACAUGCAAGUCGAGCGGUAGCACAGAGAGCUUGCUCUCGGGUGGCGAGCGGCGGACGGGUGAGUAAUGUCUGGGAAACUGCCUGAUGGAGGGGGAUAACUACUGGAAACGGUAGCUAAUACCGCAUAACGUCGCAAGACCAAAGUGGGGGACCUUCGGGCCUCAUGCCAUCAGAUGUGCCCAGAUGGGAUUAGCUAGUAGGUGGGGUAACGGCUCACCUAGGCGACGAUCCCUAGCUGGUCUGAGAGGAUGACCAGCCACACUGGAACUGAGACACGGUCCAGACUCCUACGGGAGGCAGCAGUGGGGAAUAUUGCACAAUGGGCGCAAGCCUGAUGCAGCCAUGCCGCGUGUGUGAAGAAGGCCUUCGGGUUGUAAAGCACUUUCAGCGGGGAGGAAGGCGUUAAGGUUAAUAACCUUGGCGAUUGACGUUACCCGCAGAAGAAGCACCGGCUAACUCCGUGCCAGCAGCCGCGGUAAUACGGAGGGUGCAAGCGUUAAUCGGAAUUACUGGGCGUAAAGCGCACGCAGGCGGUCUGUCAAGUCGGAUGUGAAAUCCCCGGGCUCAACCUGGGAACUGCAUUCGAAACUGGCAGGCUAGAGUCUUGUAGAGGGGGGUAGAAUUCCAGGUGUAGCGGUGAAAUGCGUAGAGAUCUGGAGGAAUACCGGUGGCGAAGGCGGCCCCCUGGACAAAGACUGACGCUCAGGUGCGAAAGCGUGGGGAGCAAACAGGAUUAGAUACCCUGGUAGUCCACGCCGUAAACGAUGUCGAUUUGGAGGUUGUGCCCUUGAGGCGUGGCUUCCGGAGCUAACGCGUUAAAUCGACCGCCUGGGGAGUACGGCCGCAAGGUUAAAACUCAAAUGAAUUGACGGGGGCCCGCACAAGCGGUGGAGCAUGUGGUUUAAUUCGAUGCAACGCGAAGAACCUUACCUGGUCUUGACAUCCACAGAACUUUCCAGAGAUGGAUUGGUGCCUUCGGGAACUGUGAGACAGGUGCUGCAUGGCUGUCGUCAGCUCGUGUUGUGAAAUGUUGGGUUAAGUCCCGCAACGAGCGCAACCC